UGGGGAAUUUUGGACAAUGGGGGCAACCCUGAUCCAGCAAUGCCGCGUGAGUGAAGAAGGCCUUCGGGUUGUAAAGCUCUUUUGUCAGGGAAGAAACGGUAGUAGCGAAUAACUAUUACUAAUGACGGUACCUGAAGAAUAAGCACCGGCUAACUACGUGCCAGCAGCCGCGGUAAUACGUAGGGUGCAAGCGUUAAUCGGAAUUACUGGGCGUAAAGCGUGCGCAGGCGGUUGUGUAAGUCAGAUGUGAAAUCCCCGGGCUCAACCUGGGAAUUGCAUUUGAGACUGCACGGCUAGAGUGUGUCAGAGGGGGGUAGAAUUCCACGUGUAGCAGUGAAAUGCGUAGAUAUGUGGAGGAAUACCGAUGGCGAAGGCAGCCCCCUGGGAUAACACUGACGCUCAUGCACGAAAGCGUGGGGAGCAAACAGGAUUAGAUACCCCUGUAGUCCCUGAGCGGGCUGGCAAGGCGCAU
Molecule: ribosomal RNA, 472 nt
Filed under: uncultured bacterium
Lineage: Bacteria
Description: bacterial SSU rRNA
Rfam family: Bacterial small subunit ribosomal RNA
Source: RNAcentral